UUUAACGAGAGUUUGAUCCUGGCUCAGGAUGAACGCUGGCGGCGUGCUUAACACAUGCAAGUCGAGCGAAGCACCUUGACGGAUUUCUUCGGAAUGAAGUUUUG
RNAcentral lists this ribosomal RNA (104 nucleotides) under Mediterraneibacter gnavus. RNAcentral's name for it is "partial 16S ribosomal RNA". It matches the Rfam family "Bacterial small subunit ribosomal RNA", at positions 1 to 95 of the family's 1533-position model. Lineage: Bacteria; Bacillati; Bacillota; Clostridia; Lachnospirales; Lachnospiraceae. The record is from RNAcentral.